Molecule: unclassified non-coding RNA, 417 nt
Filed under: Hevea brasiliensis (rubber tree)
Lineage: Eukaryota; Viridiplantae; Streptophyta; Magnoliopsida; Malpighiales; Euphorbiaceae
Source: RNAcentral
AAGAGCUGCAGAUUGCUUUGACAUGUAUAAAGGCUUCUCGACGGGCAGAAGGUAAGCUUUCUGCCUUAUUAUUCUUGUUUUCUAUUUGUUCUUGUAAUGAAAGUUUAUAUUUAAUGUGUUCGUGACAGUGAAAUAUUUGCAGCUAUGGAUUGUUUUCUAGCAAGAGUUAGAACUCAUGUGGAUUUGCAAUUUGGUAUUAAAAUAAAACUCUCUUGCUAGUCCUAAACCAGAAAUUAUUUCAGCAUAACAAUUUCUUUGUGUAUUUUGUGAUUACUUAUUUGUAGAGAAGAACUGCUCUAUCUGCAGUUUGCUGCCUGACAUGUUGGUCCACAGAGUCACAAAGGAAGACAACAAACUAGGUGUUGAAGACCCUUUUCUUGGAGUGCAGUUAAGGUCCCUUUAUGAUGUAAAUCUUUA